Molecule: long non-coding RNA, 19193 nt
Filed under: Zea mays
Lineage: Eukaryota; Viridiplantae; Streptophyta; Magnoliopsida; Poales; Poaceae
Description: long non-coding RNA (ZMAY_LNC000441)
Source: RNAcentral
UUGAAGAGAACAAAAACACUCUACUUAAUGUUGAUGUAUGGAACGUAUAAACAAACAUAACACGCGCGGGGUAAUUAGAUAAUUAAACUUGACUAGUAGUGUGGGUUGACGGCGAAGCACUUCUCCCUGAUCUCUCCCUCGUCCCCGGUGAGCACCUGGACCUUGCCCAUCUUAACCAUGGCCUUGGCGAACUUGACCUGCCAUGCCUUCUCGACUGCGGCGUUGAAGUGGACCAUUCCGGCCGUCCAUGGGUUGUCGAGCAGUGUGUUGUAGGAGAUGAACAGGACCUUGUGUGCCAGCACGUUCUUGUAGUACUGGUUGUCGAAGGUCGCCGGCGUGACUGGGUCAAGCGGAACCACCGUGGGAUCCAUCUGGUCGUCGCUGGACGGCCAAUGGCACCGCGCCUUGAGGUGCCCGGCGUAGACGGGGUCGAGGGAUGGGUCCGUCUGCCCCAGCUGCCCGCUGAAGUUGUAGAGCCGCUGCAUGAAGGAGGAGCAGUGGGAGCGGCCGAUGGUGUGCGCGCCGGAGAGCGUGACCAUGUCGUCGGCGUUGAGCCCCUUGCGCUUGAAGCUCUUGAUGAGCUCGUCGACCUCGUCAGUCGGGGCGGGGACAUUGUUGUCGAGCACCUCCUCCUCUUUGGACACGCGACCGUCACGGCGGCCAGACGAGACCUUGUAGUCCAGGCCGCCGGCGAGGUAGGUGCUAUCACGGGCCGCGAACGCGACGAUGUCGGCGCAGGAGACGGUGCGCGGGCAGUGCGCCUCGAGGACGGCCUUGGCGUCGUCGAUGAUGUCAAAGCCGCGCAUGUUGGGGUUGUUGGCCACGGAGUCCUUCUCGGCCUUGUUGCCCGGCGUGGAGUUGAUGAGGAUGGAGCCGUCGUAGCCCCGGACGAAGCAGUCGUGGAAGUGCAUCCGGAUGAGCCUCGCGCCUAUGCCGGGCUCACGGGCGAUACCGCGGCGGACGGCGUGGCGCACGAUGUCCUCGGCGAGGCGUGUGCGUGUGCCGCUGAUGAGGAGACGACGACGAGCGCCGACAAGGCAAAUGCCAACCAAGUGGACCUCAUGACGAAGAUGAACAAUGGGUCGAUCAGAUGCUGCUCUCUCACUCUGAGCUUUCUAUCUGCUUUAGCUCUGGAGCUCGAUCGAGAUGAAGAGCUGCUUUAGAUGUUACUCUCUAUUUAUACAAUGUGCUUGGAACCGUGUUUGUGAACCGGGUCGACGAAUAAUAAGCAAGACCCGAUAUAAUCCCUGCAUCGCGAUAACAAUCAAGUAACAACUGCUACAAGAACUGUGUUAGUAGACUUUGUAGUACAUAUAUGUCAGCAUGUACCUAAUAAUGUUGCCCAAACUUUGUUGUAGCAGCAAAUGAUAAGCAAAGCAGAUAGUUGUUUAGAGAUCGAAAAUGAUGUUAGUUGCUUGAUCAGAGAAUUCAUGGAGACACAUACAAUUAAUUUGCCCCCUAAAAGCCAAAAGCCAAACCAAAGGGCUGGAUCCAGAAAGCAGCUUUUUCUAAAAGCUGACUUUCUCGCAGUGCAAAACUGAAAACACACCUAGACCUGCUUUUAGUAGCUUUCAGAUGGAACUGUGAAAACAUAUAUCGAAAUACUUUUAACGGCUUUUAGUGGUUUCACCAAAUAAUUUUUAGCUUUUUAAUAGCUCACAGCCCACAACAGCUUUUUCCACAGCUCACAGCACACAUCAGCUUUUUUCACAGCCACAGCCCAACCAAACAGACCCUAAGUCGUCAUGAUUAUUAGAUGGUCUAAUAUGAGUAGGACUCCAGAAGUAUAAAUAUGGCAAAAAUAUCAUUUGAAUAGAAGAGACAAGUUAGAGUCCUAAACAAAUAAGACAAUAUUCCAACAUAUAAGGUAGAGUCAUAAGCAAAUAAGACAUGAUUCUAACGGAUAAAAAAGUCACACUUGUAAUUAUAGAGUCAUGUGACUUAAUCGUAUUCACCACUUUAACUGCCCACCUCUUUGGACUAUAUCAGGAGAGACAAUGCAGCCCCAUGAGCAUAAACCAGAAUAUAACAGGUCAGUAGCCAUCAAAACACUGGACAUAGGGUAUUAUCUCAUGACGAGAGCCUAAACCAGCCUAACCUAAAUUGACCCUCGGGAAAUCCUCGAUAGAGGGGUUUGAAGUCCAACCUACAAAAGCAUUAGAGCAACGAGAGUUUACUAAGAAAGGUAAGUGUGUUCUUGAUCUCGUUGUUUUACUUAAUAAUGUUUACUAUUAUGUUCUCACCUAUGUAUUGCACAAUUAGAUUAACCUGAUGGGACCUAAUAGGUUACCUAACUUUGUUUUCCCUAUACCUUGUUUACCCCUAAGUUACUAAUUAUUGGGUAGACAUUCUUGUGCUCAACUUUGUUUUUGGGAAUAAUGAUACUUAUGAUUCAUGGUCAUGUUUUAUUAUGAUUUUUUAUUGUCGGUUUAUUUAUUAUGCAUGAUAAGUCAACCUUGUUUAAUUGGGACAUGGAGAACCAGUCGAGAAAACAAUGUAACCACAACUACUUUUAUGGCUCUAUUCUUAGCUAAUUGAUCAUGAAAGCUGGUGUGUAAGAACCUACCUCAACAGGGCCAAGCAGGGAGGAGUUGCUCAAGUAUAGAGAGGUUCUCAAGUUGAUCUGCUUUGCGGAAGCUGUUCAGACGAGGGGUUUAUAUACCAACUCCAUUUGAAACCGUAGCGGGUUUUCUCAUGUCAGUGGAAAUUUGUAAAGGCCUUGUAGUGAACCCUUCCUCACCUCCCUAGAAGAGAUGUAUGGGAGCCUUGAGCCCUUGGCAAAUGGGUAACAUAACUAUGGGUAAAGAUGUGCAACCUCUGCAGUGUGUAAAACUAAUAUAUCAGUCGUGCUCACGUUUACGAGCGGCUCGAACGCUCACAUGAUUAAAUUAUGGAAUUAAAUUAAAUCGGACGUGCAUUUUAUUAGGGGUGAAAACGGGUUGGGUAUAUCCCAUUUUUCGAUACGAAUUCAAGUAUUUUUAUACCUAGGACAGAUACGGGUAGUACCUGGAUAGUGCAGCUUCAGAUGCGGUACUCGGAUAUUCGAGUCAGAUACAAGCAUACAAAUUUCAGAUACCCGUUUUUUCUUUUUCUGCAUAAUAUAGUUAUUGUCGGUACCCUGAAUCAGGGGUACCCUCUUCUACAGCAUGAAGACGCUGUACACGUACGACGCCUCCAGACCACACGGAGAACGGCACCCGACCCCACCACAUGGGUAGGUCUAAGGGCACCACGUGGCAAGGAAAGAUAAUACAUCCUAGGAUGCAUCAUUGGGUCCGGGCCUCCAUAGAGGAACACCGGACCCCUGUACGUACAAGUCCGGAGCUCCCAAGAAGGCAUGCCGGGUCCCUUGGGUAGGCCCCGGGUCCCUCCGAGUAAGGUUCGGGCCUUGGCAAGGUCCCGGGACGGGGAGGACCCCGACAUGAGUAAGGGUCCGGUUCUGCCACGUGUUCAAGCCUUGCCCUACGCUCCCCACUCCGGCGGAGACCCGCUGCUGCCGCGUGGCUUGUGGCGCGUGACAUAAGCCAACGGGCCGAGCCUGACGAAAAGCCCCUAAAGCCGCGCAGCCUCUGCAUUUAUUACGGAGAGGACGCACCGCUUGACACCACGGUGACGGACGACGUGCCCUCUCAGCAUUUAAUGCGUCCUUUCCAAUUCGCUGGCAGACGGUGUUAGGGUCAUCCAGUAGACGGCGCGCCUAUGCAGUCUAUUGACGAACAGUGCGCCCGUGCCGUGCGGCGUACUAUGCUCACCACCCCUUCUACAAGAAGCUUCCCCUGCACACCGAGGAUACGCAGAUCUCGGAUGUCAGGGCACAAGAAGAUUGCCCCAGCAGCAAACAUUUGUAGCUCCAAGCGCUAUAUUCAUUAUGUCUCUGGGCCCACAUAUCGGGGUUCAGUACCUUUGUGCAUGCCCCCUUCAGCUAUAAAAGGGGAGGCAUGCGGCGUUACAAGACAGAUCCAAUCUUAGGCUCACUCAGACACUCACAAGUUCAUAUAAGCUCUCAAGCAAUACAUCACACAGUGGAGUAGGGUGUUAUGCUCCAGUGGCCCGAACCACUCUAAAUCCUUGUAUGUUCUUGUGUUGUUCCCAUUUUCCGACUAACAAGCAAAACGCCUAGGCCCCUCCUCAUCUUAGGAUUUAGGACGGGUGCACUCCGCCACCCGGCCGGAGAUUUCCUCUCCGACAUUUGGCGCACCAAGUAGGGGGGCUAGGCAUUAGAUUUUUGCUUGUUUCCUUGCUCAAGCAUGAUGGUGCAAAUCGUUGAGAACCGUGCCGAGACUUUGGUAGAUUUCACGGUGGAAGGAGAAACUGCUUCUUCCACGCCACAAGUUCCCAACCACCCCGUGCCAGGCACUGCUGUUGUGCACGCCGCACGGCAGCACACGGCUGCAUAGACGUCCUAGACUCCAUCGAGGGCGACUCUGGGAGCAUUGUCAGUAGCCAGGGAGUUGUUGCGACACCCUCCAAGCUCCACGGCCUCACCAGGGGCCAUCAAGCAAUGGCGGGACGACGUCGACCGACUACUCGGUAUGGCGCAUUCUACCUCGACCAGGUCAAGGACACGGUCAUCCUGGCGCCAAUACGAGGCAUCGGCGUCUGUGCGCUCGCCCUCAGUAAGGGGCGCUCAGACCAACGACCUCCGAGCAGAACUCGACCGCAAGCGUGCGAGAGAGGAUGCCCGAGUCUCCUUGGAAAGGGCGCGCGAGCGUCACCAAAACAUCGGUGGUCGCAACCUCGAUCAAGACUUCACUGCGGUUGCACCGCAGACACCAAUGGGUAUCCGGUCUCAAACGGGUGUCCCCUUGGCCGGUGUGGGCUGCGCCGCUCUCACAGAUCAUCUCCGCGCGGCGUCAUGGUCAUCCAAGUUCCGGCCGCACCUGUCGGAAAAGUACGAUGGAACAUCAAACCUGUCGGAGUUCCUGCAGGUGUACGUCACCGCCAUCACGGCAGCAGGUGGAAACACCGCUGUGAUGGCAACAUAUUUUCAUGUCGCCUUGUCUGGACCAGCCCGGACUUGGCUCAUGAACCUCGCCCCAGGGUUAGUCUACUCCUGGGAAGAGCUCUGCGCGCGGUUCGUUGCGAACUUCGCCAAUGCUUACCAGCAGCACGGUGUGGAGGCCCACCUCCAUGUGGUGAGGCAGAAGCCCAGGGAGACUCUCCAGAAAUUCAUCUACCGCUUCACCAAGGUGCGAGGUACCAUACCUCGCAUUUCUGAUGCUUCCAUCAUCACGGCCAUCUGACAGGGAGUACGUGAUGAGAAAAUUCUAGAGAAGUUGGCCACACAUGACGUGGAAACUGUCCCCACACUCUUUGCUCUGGCCGAUAAGUGCGCCAGAGCCGCCGAGGGUCAUGCAUGGCACUCGGCCCCACAAACCGGAGCUGCCCAGUCAGGUGGCUCGGGUGCCGUCCCCCGGGACAGAAAGAAGAAAAAGAAGAAGGACCGCGAAUACCGGAAGCCGCGGUCCACCGCUCUGGUUGUCGCAACCACGACCAGAGGCCUGGGCGACCGCAACAAACAUCCACGACCGCAGAAGGGUAACAACGGCUCAUGCCCUGUACACCCCAACAGUCGCCACAGCUCUGUGGAGUGUCGCGAGAUCAUUGACCUCGCGAAGCGUGUCAGUGAGCGGCGCGAGCAGUCUUCCAAAGACGGCUCCCCACCUCGUCGCUGACCUAGCAAAGAAAAGGUGGGCGACGGCAAGGUGGCCACGACUGAAUGGGACCUCGGGUAUCAGUCACCCGAAGGGGACCUGAAGGAUGUCUUCGCUGGAGGCUCCUACUCUGGUGGAGACAACUAGACGGACCCCAGAGGGACCCCGUGUUCCCCGGUCUACGGAGCUAAAGCUUGCCUUCCUCCGGAAACCCUUCCGGACUCCCCACAGGUCCAGGCUUCUGACAGGUACAUACAGGAACGGCCACAACCAAAGGCGAGGGCUCCCGUGUCAAAUGCAGAUGGGGACCCAGGGUCGGGACAUAGCCCUACGGCAAGUACCAAACCAAGAAGGGCUCUGCAACUCUCCCCCAGCUGGGAAGGACCCUUCAAGGUAACGGGAAUGCACCGACCCGAGGGCAACCAUCUAGCUACGACUAAAGGAGUCUCUCACCCCGAUGCUGAAACAUCUCUGUAAGUUCUAUCCAUAGAGCAAGUCUGAGGGGUCGAUUUAGUUGCCCUUUUGUAACCAGGUAGCACAUACGUGUACGCCAACCUAGUGGGGUCCAUCCACAUAAACCUAGCAUGUUGGUCUGCACCCACGCAUGAUGAGUUAUAAAGAAAAACUACCCCCUCAGUUGAGCCCCUAUGAUAGUUCCAUCUCGCUGCUCCAUGGUCUUACCUUGUAGUUUUUCAGAUAAUACUUUUUAUCUAACCCACCCGUACGGUUUCCAUCUGUACUGACAUGACGACAUCCAAAUUGAGCAGUCAGGCUUACAGUUUAGGGCCCCCGAUACGAAAGUUGGGAGGUCCGACAGCCUGGGAGCCGGCUCCAGAGAACGGAACCCUGUUCCAUGGGAUGGUCCGGAGCCUGUGUGACCGCUUAGCCUGGUUCCAUACCUGAAAGCCUGCACACUCCACCACUCUGUGACGGGUACCUAGUAUUUAGGGCUAUAAGUCUUGUGGGUCCGACAACCUCGGGACCGGAACUAGAGAAUGGACAUUAGUCUUCUGGGGUGGUCCGGAGCCCGUGUAGCCGCUCAGCCUGGUCCCGUACCGUGGGCCUGCACGCUCCACCGCCCUGCGACAAGUGUCCUAGUAUCUAGAGCCACGACCCAAGGGGGUCCGGACACGCAACUUGGCCACCCGGGCUGAAACCUGCGAGUCCCGAACAUGUAUCAAAGGAUGGCUAAUGUCAGACAGGGGACCCUAUGGGUGUACUACUAACGCUCCUUAGCUGAAGUUGUGAACAGAUCCAGACCUCGGUGAGGCUGCUUCCCGAGAAUUAUUGACAACCUUUUCAGAUACGCUGGUACCCAACCUCAACAAAUCAAGCCUGCAUCCUAGGCUGGGGGGGGGCAGGUACCAGGGAGGAGUCAACAAUAUCGCACACAACAAAAACAAGUUGAAAAUAGAUAAGUGCUAAUACUUCUUAACAAAUAGUACUCUUGAGUACCUUACAAAAAGCAAAAGUAUUACAUCUGUUUUUCAAGUGGAGCCCUAGUUCCAUCUCUACUCUGCAGGUAUGAACUACCUCCACACCAGUAGGGCCACGAGAUAGCUAGCUCCGAGCGGCUCGCUAGCGGAGGCGACCACCUCAGCAUCGACGGCGGUGGCCACCUCUGCACCGACGACUCACCAGCAAUGGCGAUCACCUCAGCACGUGCGCCAUUGCGAAAAGGUCCUCGCCCCCGUCUUCCUACGGGGGGCGACAACGAGGCCAUUAAAGCUAAAGAGUCAGAAGGCUCGGUGGCAGGUGGCGCUGAUGGUCUCGCCAGCGGAGGCAACCACCUCUGCAACGGGCAGCCUCACCAGCGGCGGCGACCACCUCAGCACCAACGACAGCGGCCACCUCUGCACCGGUGGACGGCGGCUGCCGCAGCACACGCGAAGAGGUCCUCGCUCCCGUCCUCACUGCAGGAGUGGGGACAAGACCAUCCAAGAACGCGGUCGUCGCCCCCACGGCGUACGAUGUCUUGUACGGCCCCCGGUGCGGCCGUCGGCGCAGGAGAAGCCGUGGACGUGGCGGACCUGCGCACGGCACGACUGUCGCCUGUGCGGUGGAUGGGCAGCCACGCCCCAACUAAACAGCAGGAGGCAGCGUCGGAGGCGGCACCGAGGCCAUCCAAGCUGGGGAACCGGGCACGCGGCGGCCGGCGGCGCCUGCAGUCGGCCGGUCCCGCGUACCCGAAGUUCACCUCCUCUGCAAGGCUGGUGAACUCCCUUCUCCCCCGAAUGCUGGAGGAAGAAGCGGGCCGCCAGCCCAUGUGGAAGGCGGGACCCCAACUCGGCUCGCCCUCCUCCCCAGCGCGGAUGAUGAACAUCCUUGAAGCUGAGGGCAGGGGGAGGCCACAGCCCAGCUUGCUUCUCUCCACCACAAGGCUGGUGGUCAUCCCUCUAGAUGACCACUGGCGGGAGAUUGCAGUUGGGCUGCAUGAUGAAAAUCCUUGAAGCCGAGCGAUGGAGGAAGAGCGCCAACCCCUACAGGGUUGCGCUCCUCUAACAGCAGCAAGAAGAAGACAAGAUCGGCAGCACCACCACGAGCGCGAGCUCUCCGGCGGUGAGAUCCCUGGAGGGGGCGGCCCUGACACGGAUCCCUCCAGAGAACACCGGCGCACCCCAUCUGGAGGCCCGGAAGGCGGAAGGGCGUGAUGAAUGCAAGAGGAGCAAAGCAUGGCUACUGGCCGGGAGAUCGAUCCCUUUUUAAAAGCAGAUCUUCCCACUCGCGCCCCGAAGCGUCACGAGCAAGGUCUCCCCCGAUGUGCACCAGGGUUCCCACCCUAUGACACGGGGGCCAAGUCCCACAUGUCAUACUGACUGACCCAAAGAACGAAGAAGGCGAACCACCGCACAAGGAGCAUACAACUGCCCCACGGUUAUGUGCCCCUUCAUUUUUGGAGCAACCAGCGGUCAGGAAGGCGAACCGCUGCACAAGGAGCAUGCAACCUCCCCGCGUUCAUGCGCCCCUUCGUUUUCGCCGAAACCAGCAGUCAGGAAGGCAAACCGCCACGAAGGAAGCGUACAACCGCCCCAUAGUUGUGCGCCCCCUCAGCUUCGCUGCAACUGGUGGUCCGACAUGGGACCCAGGCCCACAUGUCAUGCAGCCGACGCGCCAGUUACCGGGUGCGGAAAAAUCGCACCGCCACUCGCGCCAAUGCCACGUCUUCUCGGGGCCGACGUGGAAGACUAAAAAGAUAAGUUUCCAAAACCAGUGCAGCGACUCGAGGCAUCCCGCGCAUGGCCCAACAGUGGCUUUAAGUACGAAGGUCGAGGGCCAGUCAGCCGUGGGAAUAGGCGUAGCAGUCGGCAUGACCAUAGGCGAGCCGACAAUAAUUGCGUCAACAGGCGCGCAGGAGCAGUAGGCCAACCGCUAAUCAGACUCUGGCCCCACCUGCAGGCUCGCAUCCUCCCCUAAGACGGGCCCAGGGGCCACUGUCGGUACCCUGAAUCAGGGGUACCCUCUUCUACAGCAUGAAGAUGCUGCACACGUACGACGCCUCCAGACCACACGGAGAACGGCACCCAACCCCACCACAUGGGCAGGUCUAAGGGCACCACGUGGCAAGGAAAGAUAAUACAUCCCAGGAUGCAUCAUUGGGUCCGGGCCUCCAUACAGGGACACCAGACCCCUGUACGUACAAGUCCGGAGCUCCCAAGAAGGCAUGUCGGGUCCCUCGGUUAGGCCCCGGGUCCCUCCGAGUAAGGUUCGGGCCUUGGCAAGGUCCCGGGACGGGGAGGACCCCUGCAUGAGUAAGGGUCCGGUUCUGGCACGUGUCCGGGCCUUGCCCUACGCUCCCCACUCAGGCAGAGACCAGCUGCUGCCGCGUGGCUUGUGGCCCAUGACAUAAGCCAACAGGCCGAGCCUGACGAAAAGCCCCUAAAGCCGCACAACCUCUGCAUUUAUUGCGGAGAGGACACGUCGCCUGCCACCACGCUGAUGGAUGACGUGCCCUCUCAGCAUUUAAUGCAUCCUGUCCAAUCCGCUGGCAGACGGCGUCAGGGUCAUCCAGCAGACGACGCGCAUGUCCAGUCUGUUGACGAACAGUGCGCUCGUGCCAUGCGGCGUACUAUGCUCACCACCCCUUCUACAAGAAGCUUCCCCUGCACGCCGAGGAUACGCAGAUCUCGGAUGUCAGGGCACAAGAAGAUUGCCCCAACAGCGAACAUUUGUAGCUCCAAGCGCUAUAUUCAUUAUGUCUCUGGGCCCACAUAUCGGGGUUCAGUACCUUUCUGCAUGCCCCCUUCAGCUAUAAAAGGGGAGGCAUGCGGCGUUACAAGAUAGAUCCAAUCUUAGGCUCACUCAGACACUCACAAGUUCAUACAAGCUCUCAAGCAAUACAUCACACAGUGGAGUAGGGUGUUACUCUCCGGCGGCCCGAACCACUCUAAAUCCUUGUGUGUUCUUGUGUUGUUCCCAUUUUCCGAAUAACAAGCAAAACGUGUAGGCCCCUCCUCAUCUUAGGAUUUAGGACGGGUGCACUCCGCCACCCGGCCGGAGAUUUCCUCUCCGACAGUUAUAAAAUCACAACUUUUACAUAUAACCAGAUGAAUAUAAAGUUUAUAUAAAAAUUGUAGAGCUUGAAGAGAUCUAUAACUUUAUAGUACAUCAUAUUUUUGUUGAACAUAUCUUAAGGUCGAAAUCAUUGAAAUAAUAUCCAAAUUUAUAUCAAAUUAAUAGACUUUAUCAUUUUCAUAUGGGGACUUAAGGUUAUCUUCAUGUGGGGACUAAAAGUUAUCUUCUUAUAGACUAUUUAUUAGUCUUAGUAACUUAUUUGCCAUUUUUGGUGAUUUUCCAUAGAAAGAAUUAAUAUUACAUAAAUAGCCUAAAUAAUUCAUGAAAUUUUGUGGAGACCUAACAUAUGUUCAUAAAUGAUCAUAAAAAAUAUUUGGAUCAUAAAUCUCACAAGAUGUUAACAUUUCUUCCAUUUUAUUUACAAUUAUUGCGUGAGUUACACGUGAAAUCAUUCUAUGUAUCCAUGUUUCAACAUAAUCAAUACUUCACUUAUCAUUUUCAUGUGGGUACUUGAGAUUAUCUUAGUAUAGAAUGUUUAUUAGUUUCGACAACUUAUUUGCAUUUUUUGUCAAAACUAGAAUAUUUUAUGAAUUUAAUUGCAUUUUGAUGAUUUUCUAUAGAAAGAAAUUAAUAAUACACAAAUAGCCUCAUAAUUUCAUGAAAUUUUACGGAGGCACAACAUAUGUCCACAUAUAGUCAUAAAACAGUGGGACAAUAAAAUCCAUAAGAUGUCAGCAUUUCUUCUAUUUCACUUCCACGUCUUCGCGUGAGUUACACGUGAAAUCACUCUAAGUAUCCAGGUUUCAACAUAAUUGAAAACUUCUCUUUAUCAUUUUUGUGUGGGGACUUGAGGUUAUCUUCUUAUGAAAUGUUUAUUAGUCUUGAUAAUUUAUUUGCAAUCUCUGGUCAAACAAGGAUAUUUUAUGAUAAGCAAUUCAUUCAUUAUCUAGCAAGUAUAUGAUAUCCAAUAAAAUAAUAUAUGUAUCCGUCACUUAUCCGCAUGAAUAAAUAUCUGGUCCAUGUAUCCAUAUCCACCCCAUUUCUAACUAUCCAUAUCAGACCCCAAUUCCAAUUGAAAUACAUUUGGGUAGGAUACAGGAUGAUCUACUAUUCAUCUCGUUUUCACCCCUACAUUUUAUUGUUGGUAUUGUCUUUAUGAUCAUUUAUUUAGUUAGAAUGGUAUAUACUUAUACUUAGUAACUGCUAAUAAAAUUUUGAUCAACAAAAUUAAAGCUAAUGUUUAGCAUUAGCCAUAUUCCUUGGUAAGCUUACACUGCUUUUUUCCCUACACAUUUGCUGAGUAUCAACCAUAAGUGUACUCACUCUUGAGGGAUUUGCUGCUCGGAAUUAGGUCAACAUGAAGAAGAAUACUAUGAUGAGUUCGAGGAGUCUAGGCUAUGUCGCUCCGGUUCACCUACCUGUGGCUUAUGAUCGGGAUCGUCGUCGUCGUGAUCAUCGUUUAGUUUCUAUUAUUUAGUUAUUUUGUAAAGACAUUUUACUUAUACAAUAAAGUUUGUGGAACUAGUUUCUAUACAAUAAGUCAUCAUAUGUGUGAAAUUUGAUCCUGGCACACAUAUGAGAUACAUCAGGAUUUGUCCUUAAAUCCGGUUGUGACGCCGACCAUGUUGGUCGUGUGAUAUCCUGGCCCCUGAGAUGGUGUUUUCCUGGCCCAAGGCUUAAUAGAAUUAAUAGAGUAUCCAUACCAACAAGGUGCAUCUUCUUUUUCGGAAGCCUAUCUCGAAAGAAUUUCCAUGUUAAGCGUGCUUGGCUUGGAUCGAUUUGGGAUGGGUGACCACCGGGAAGUUUUCUCAGGUGCACAUGAGUGAGGACAAACUGUGCAUAAAAGACUCGUGUUGGUCUGUGGGGACGAUAUAUGAUCCUAGAGAGUUGUCCAGAAUAAGUAUCGCCGGUCCAGGGAUUGGAUGGGGUGUUACAAGUGGUAUCAGAGCCGACCCUCGAGGUUUCACGGGCGUGUGUGGGCUAGGGGUUUGGGUAUAUGGCGCAUGGUGCAUGUGGGCCCGGAGUGGUCAUAUGGCAUGGCAUAUGACGACACUAGACACACAGACGUGGCUAAGAGGGGAGGUUCCUGGAUUGGGGUUGACCGACGAGGACGUUGGUCUUCUAAGGGGGGGUGGAUUGUGAUAUCCUAGCCCCUGGGAUGGUGAUUUCCUGGCCCAAGGCUUAAUAGAAUUAAUAGAGUAUCCAUACCAACAAGGUGCAUCUUCUUUUUCAGAAGCCUAUCUCGAAAGAACCUCCAAGUUAAGUGUGUUUGGUUUGGAUCAAUUUGGGAUGGGUGACCAACCGAGAAGUUUUCUCGGGUGCGCAUGAGUGAGGACAAAGUGUGCACAAAAGACUCGUGUUGGUCUGUGGGGACGAUAUAUGAUCCUAGAGAGCUGCCAUGAGUAAGUACCGCCGAUCCUGGGAUUGGACGGGGUGUUACAGGUCGGUAUCAACCGCGCAUUAGAGUCUUGCUGGUAUCCACCAUGUCCGGUCGGUACCAACCACCUAGUGCCGAUGUGGUAGAUUCUAUUCAGUAGAAUCCAUUUUAAUCGUUGGAAUUCAAAAAAAAAAUCAAAAAACUUAAAUCCACCCAUUAAAUAUAGAGGGGGUGUAUGGGUUCAUUCGCACCCCUCACUCUUCAAUUCACAAGCCUUCUUCUCUAUUUGUUGUCGCCCACUCUCUAUCUUGCAUGAAUCCAAGGUGGAUUCUUAACUUUGAUAUGUUCACCGACUUGCACAACAAGCAAUCUCCACAAUAUCUUGAGACCCCCUUUUGGCGUGGGCAGAUCGUCUCCGAUGGUCUUUCUCCUAUCCAACAUUGGCUAGAAGAUGUAUAUGUUUGUCUUCAUUUCUUGACUCUCCAACCAUUGUUCCAUAUUCGUAUCCAUGUUGACCAUCAAUUGAUGUUCCUCCUCCUACCACUGAACCAAUUACAUCCAACGCUCCUUCUCCUCCUACUAGUGAAGUUUCUUCCACCGAUGUUACUCCUCCUCAACCUUUCACUUAUUUGUACCUUCCUCCAUACCUGUACUUGUAUGGGUAUCCAUAUGAUGAUCCUCCCUCAUUUCUUCCUCUAUAUGAUGCUCCUCUAAUAUAUGGUGCUCAUGCUCCUUUUUACCCUUUCAUAGGCACGACAAUGCCCCCAAGCAGCCAUAACGAUGCAGCCUCCAACUAGUCCACAUACUCUGGUGUGACUUAGUUCCAACGACAAAUGGAUUGGACUAGUAUGGAGGACAAAAGACUCGUAAGUAUUAAGUACAUAUAUAUUUUUAUAAAUCGGACACAAGUUUUAGGCCGACAACAUUUUUUAGUUCAUAAACUUGUAGGUCCACACAUGGCUAUUGCACUCUAUUGACCCCAUUAAGAGAAAUGACAAAAAUGGAUCUGUCUUUUUGUAUAAGCCAAAUAAUAACUAUGUGCAACUCCACCUCAAAACCUCCUAACCAUAAUACCCCAAGCAACCAAAGGACCAGUGGUCCAUAAGCAAUCAUAAGGUCACCCUCUUCAAUGACACCUACAACCAAUUAUCCAUGGCAUGGCUAGUGGAGCAAAUUGUGCUAUGCUUCUCAAAGUGGAAAAGAAGAGCUUCCACAAUAGGCCUGGUGAAACGUACUUUCAACUAGAGCACAUAUGGAGUGCUCUUCACAAGUAGCCCAAGUGGUGCGCGUGGCAUGAUGAUGAUGAUGCUAGAUAUGCAAGCAAUCGACCACGUCUCAAAAUAGAAGUUGAUUAUAGCUCUGCAUCGCUAGACAAUGUCGGACCCAUAUGACAUAUUGGCCAUGAAAGGGAAAGAGCGCAACACAAAGGGAAGGGGCCAACAACGAGUAGCAUGGUGAACAAGCUCUACAAGGCUAGCUAGAGGAUAACACAAUCAAAAUUAUUUGAGCACUUCACCAAGUUAUUAGAUCAGCCAACCAUCGAUAUGAAUGAUGUCUUGAAAAAGACACAUAGGUUGGGUGUAAAAAAUGACCAAGCAAUUAAAACUAGAUGAGGAAGAAAAUGUGGAACUGAUAGAGGAGGGUGAUGACGAUGAGUAGUAGUAAUGUAUUAUUUUUUACAAACAUGUAUUUUUAUUUAAAAAAUACAAAUUUAUUUAUUUUAAUUAUGUAAUUUUAUUUUCUUAAUUGCAUGAUCAGAUGAUUUUUCCAACAAAAUAUAGUGUAUUUUUCAAAUACAAAUCGGUAAAAGAAAAAGAUAGUGUGGUGUUGACGUGACUAUGGUUGACAAUAAACUUGUAUAUAGUCUUAUAAUUAAUAAGGGAUCAUAGCACGAUUGAUAGUGUGAUUGAUAGCUGAUGGUGAUAAGUGUCGAGUGCAUUAGAUCUAGCCUAGGCCAUAUGGAUUAUGUUAUCACAAGCCUGGAUCACUAUUCAUAGUAUGAAAUAUGUUAAAGUCUAUGGCAUAUUGUCAAAAGUAUUGAGAUUCUUAAUAUGAAUUGAUGCUAAAAUGCUUUUGCACAGACAAUUGAUGAUGCAAGAGGAUAUAUUAGCAGGGGUGGGCUCAAUUAUAUUAAAUGGUAUUCGAUUGAAUAUCUAGUUUUUUGGCAAGAAAAAUUAUCUAUUUAGUGUAUAUAUGUAUACAUACUGGACAGAAGAAAAAUGAAGAUAAAUAAAUAUACAAUGAAGAAUUGGGUCCAAAAUAGACUUUUCUACUAUCCCCUCCCCAUCCUUGGACUAAUGGCCCAUUUUGGUUGAAGAAUGUAUAAGGCAAAAAGCCAAAAACAACUUGGCCUCCCCACCCUACCUAUUCACUCUAUUUCUCAGCCUCACACCUAUGACUGCUGAAAGCAUCUAGGCCCUCAAAAGUUAUGAUGAUUAAUGACAACAUAAGAUUAUUGUGACUAAUUUGUGUGUUGCAUAGGCAAAUUUGAGUUAGAUCAUAAUGAUGGAGAAUGGUUUAGAGAAUGUAUGUUUUCUAUGCCCCUACUUAUGAAUUUCGUUGUGGUCUUCAAAAGGAUGAAAGACACGGUUAAGAAUCAAUUAGUUCUAAGUUUCGAUUGGAGUUGAGACACUCAGAGUAGUUUGGGACUUAGUUGUUCCUUUUACCAUACUAUAAAGGGAGUAGUUUAGGACUUCGCUUUUCCUUUGAUCAUACUAUAAGAGGAGUAUAAACUAGUAGCUUGACUAAAUAAGUCUAAUGAGUCUAGUGUGGCAUAAACUAGUUGUUUUUAACGCUAGCUGACUUAGAAGGGGCCAAAAACUAGUCAGGAUCAAAACUCAACUCUUAAGUUUCAAAAUUGGACAAGUUAGAAGGGUUUCAAUGUCUUAGACCUUGUGUUUUACGGUUAUUAGACCAUAGUGGAUUAGUCUAAUUCCUCCACAUAGACAACACGAUAGCACCCAAUCAUCAAACCCUAAAACAGUACCUCAUCGAACCAAUGCAUUGGGUCUAAUUGUUUGUGUGAUCAGAUGGAGAGCUCUAGGGGUACGUCGGAUUGGUUUGAUGAUAUGUGUCAGACUGAACAAUGGCACUAUUUCAGCUACGGUUUUGGCUACAGGGUCAUCGGGCGCUAUGAACAGUUGCCUCAUUGAACCAAAGAGGAUAAGUUUAACAAGUGUUGCCCAAUGACUAGAGAGAUUUUUGUGGGCAUCAUACUAGUCCGACAAUGGGUGUAGGAUCAUACGUCGAAGGCUAAGUUUUAAAUGACCAGUUCUGACAUGGCACAAUAGUUACCAUUGUGUCUCAUCAGACCCUACAUUAAGGUACGACAAUGAUCGUUGGAUGGUAUGUCGAUGUUGAAUUUAGCCUAACUUGGCAGUAAUGGUUGGUUAGCUGGUUUGAGACUACAAAUAUCCCCAUCAAAUGGCCAACACACCUACCCUUGUCUUCAUUUAAUAGCCAAAGCAACCCAUAUAUUGUGAGAUAAGGAGUCAUUGCAUAGUGGGGGACUUGAGAGUCGGAUUCCUAAUUUUAUUGGCCUAAUUAAUGCAAACAAGAGAGAUUAGUGUGCAUCCAUUAAUCUCAUCAGUUUUUUAGAGACAAGUGAUAAUUUGUGUUUAUUACUCUUGGUGACUAGCAUCACCUAUAUGGUUUGGUGGCACUUGAAGUGCAACGAGCAUCUAGAGAGAUAGUGGGUGGCCCAACUAAAAAACUAUAUAUGGUUGUGAGCGGUUCACCGUGAUGAAGUGGAAAAGAACUAGCUUGCAGUGAGCACUUAGUCCUUGUGCGAAUCAAGGGGGUGAAAACCUUAUGUGGUUGCUCCAAUAAUGAGGAUUAGGGAAGAACGUCAACUCUCUGUGACAUCAGAACAAACUUGAGGAAUCUUCUAAAUCCUUGCAUUACUUUCCACAAUUAUGUUUGUACAAAUUUACAUUCUUAGAUUUGCCAUGAUGCAUAAUGUUGAAAUUAAGGCACAAAAUUUUUGUAUACACAUUAGACACUUGGGUGAAAUUAAGCUUAUUAUAAUUAGGAUAUGCAUAUGUAUUGUGAUGAAGAAAAAAAUGAAGAUCAAUAAACAUCUAGUGACAAAUUCAAUAUAAAAUAGAUUUUUCUACUCCCCUCCCCUCCACACCCGGGGAAAUCCUCAGCCACCCUUCCCCACCUAUUCACUCUCUUUCUCGGUCCCUCCCGUGAGUGUAACUGAAAAGGUGGUGAUCGAAAACACUGCAAGCCCACUACUUCUCCCCGUUUGGAAUUAAACACCAAUAAGGAAGAUGUCAAAAGAAAUAGGGAUGGUCAAUUCUUGUGACCCUAUAAAAUUUUCCUCCUUCCAAAUGAAAUAUCCCCCUUUGUUAUAAGAAUUUGUUCACAAUAAUUUGACCGUUGCGAUAAAUAGACUAAAUUGAUCCUAUAUGUAUGCAUAAAUAUGAUGAAUAGCAAACCAUAUGAAUAACAUAUUAAUGAAUUGAAAGCAUGUGGGAGUUUAACCUAUACGAAGAAAGCAAGCAAGAGAUACUAAAUACUCUUGAAACCAAUAUGCAUGGUAUUAAAGUUGAUACUAGUAUGUAUGGUACCUAUUGUUGUAGAAAUCUCGAAACACAAAGAAUGUUACUUGAUAAACUUGUUUGAUUUCAAAGCCUUGAAGAGAACGAAAAACACUCUACAUAAUGUUGAUAUAUGGAACGUAUAAACAAACAUAACACGCGCGGGGUAAUUAGCUUAUUAAACUUGACUAGUAGUGUGGGUUGACGGUGAAGCACUUCCCCCUGAUCUCUCCCUCGUCGCCGGUGAGCACCUGGACCUUGCCCAUCUUAGCUAAGACCUUGGCAAACUUGACCUGCCAUGCCUUCUCGACUACGACGUUGAAGUGGACCAUUCCGGCCGUCCAAGGAUUGUCGAGCAGUGUGUUGUCAGAGACGAACAGGACCUUUUGCGCUAGCUCGUUCUUGUAGUACUGGUUGUCGAAGGUCGCCGGUGUGACUGGGUCAAGCGGCACCACCGUGGGGUCCAUCUGGUCGUUGGUGGACGGCCAAGGGCACCGCGCCUUGAGGUGCCCGGCGUAGGCGGGGUCGAGGGACGGGUCUGUCCGCCCCAGCUGCCCGCUGAAGUUGUAGAGCCGCUGCGUGAAGGAGGAGCAGUGGGAGCGGACGAUGGUGUGCGCGCCAUAGAGCGUGACCAUGUCGUCGGCGUCCUCCACGGGCCGCGGUCGGCACUCGCUCCUCCGGGGCCACCAUCGCCGUUGCUCGUGCCUCGGUAACCACCGCCGACGAGUGAGGGGGCGUGUAGCUCGCUUGCGCCUCACCGGGCCGCGGCCGGCGCCCGUGCCUCAUGGGCUGUCGGCAUCGAUCGCGCCUCUCGGGCCAUCAUCGUCGCUCGUACUCAGGGAACUGCUGUCGUCGCUCGUGCGUCAGGAUGGUGGCGUCAAAAAAUGAACUCUAGAGGCCUAGAACUCCUUUUAUAGACGUUGAUACCUGAUUGGGUUGGACCGCGUUGCCUAGUUUCUAGACUAGGCUUCCUUUAGUUAUUAAAAACCCAAAUAUAUGGACUUUAGUACCAGUUCAUGAUUACAACCGGUGCUAAAGUUUCAACUUUAGUACGGCUCUAGCCAAGAACCGAUACUAAUAGGGGACCUUUAGUAACGGUUCUAACCAAGAACCGGUACUGAAGUACUAUCUAUAGUACCAGUCAGUGCAAUCGGUAAAUUUGCGGGCUUUUAGUGUCAGAUGCGGUCUUUUAGUCUAACUUUCAAUAAAUACAAGUACAAAAAAUUCAGUUGCAGUUCUCAAAAGCACUUCUCCCUGGAAAGAAAAGUGAAUUGUUUUGGUGAACAUCAAAGAAAAAGCUUGCUCUUCUUUCGUAAAAAAUUCUUCUAAAAAUACCGAACCCAAUCGUUGCAUAAAAGUUUGUACCGCACUUUUAUGUUUACGAGCUAAAGUUCUAGCAUAUGAAAGUCAAAAUAUAUAUUUUAGUCGAUACAAAGUCUGUUUUUUCGAAGAUCCACUAUGAUAAUGAAAAUAUUUCUACAUAAAACUCUCAGUGUUGUACAGACUACAUACACAGUGCUCGCGGGAAAAAAAGAGCUUCUAUAUUUGUGAUCGGAUGUGGUCACUAAAUAUGUACAUGCAUGUUGUGCAAAUAACACCAUUUUACUUGAUAAACUUGUUUGAUUUCACAGCCUUGAAGAGAACAAAAAACACUCUACUUAAUGUUGAUGUAUGGAACGUAUAAACAAACAUAACACGCGCGGGGUAAUUAGAUAAUUAAACUUGACUAGUAGUGUGGGUUUACGGCGAAGCACUUCUCCCUGAUCUCUCCCUCGUCGCCGGUGAGCACCUGGACCUUGCCCAUCUUAACCAUGGCCUUGGCGAACUUGACCUGCCAUGCCUUCUCGACUGCGGCGUUGAAGUGGACCAUUCCGGCCGUCCAUGGGUUGUCGAGCAGUGUGUUGUCAGAGAUGAACAGGACCUUGUGCGCCAGCACGUUCUUGUAGUACUGGUUGUCGAAGGUCGCCGGCGUGACUGGGUCAAGCGGCACCACCGUGGGGUCCAUCUGGUCGUCGCUGGACGGCCAAGGGCACCGUGCCUUUAGGUGCCCGGCGUAGGCGGGGUCGAGGGACGGGUCUGUCUGCCCCAGCUGCCCGCUGAAGUUGU